CAAUACUCUAGUGGCAGACGGGUGAGUAACACGUGGGAACCUUCCUUUUAGUACGGAAUAGCCCGGCGAAAGCCGGAUUAAUACCGUAUACGCCCUAUGGGGGAAAGAUUUAUCGCUAAAAGAUGGGCCCGCGUAAGAUUAGCUAGUUGGUGAGGUAAUGGCUCACCAAGGCUACGAUCUUUAGCUGGUUUGAGAGAAUGAUCAGCCACACUGGAACUGAGACACGGUCCAG
RNAcentral lists this ribosomal RNA (232 nucleotides) under uncultured bacterium. Its description in RNAcentral is "partial 16S ribosomal RNA". It matches the Rfam family "Bacterial small subunit ribosomal RNA", at positions 85 to 334 of the family's 1533-position model. The record is from RNAcentral.